This 230-nucleotide long non-coding RNA is filed under the name Elaeis guineensis (African oil palm). RNAcentral describes it as "long non-coding RNA (EGUI_LNC038501)". Lineage: Eukaryota; Viridiplantae; Streptophyta; Magnoliopsida; Arecales; Arecaceae. The record is from RNAcentral.
CGUCGUACUCCGUAGAGCGAACUGAUUUUUCUUCUUUUUUCCUUGGGUCCCUAAAGCUAUUUUAUUUUUUUUUUUAUUUUUUUCUUCACUUUCUACUAAUUUAUUCUACUCUCAAAGCUUAUUCCUGAACCUCCUAUUUAUAGAUAAAUUUUUCAUAAUUUUUUGGUAGGAAAAAGAGUCCUAAAACCCUUAGAAAUUAUUUUAAUCUCUUAGGAAUAUUUUUAGCCAUC